AAAAUUCACUUGUUUCUUUUAAUCAUUUCUUAUUAUGGAGCACACAAGUUUUAUUCAUUAAAUUUUAUUCGCAAAGGUUUCAAAAAAAGGAGAAAAUAUGAUUUAAAUAAAUAUAAUCAUAGUCAGGAACAAGAUAUCACAAAUAUGUCAGCAAAGCCACAAGUUCCUAAAGAGGGAAAGAUGACAAAAAUAUGCAGAUUUGGAAUGAAAACAACUGUAACGAGAA
Molecule: unclassified non-coding RNA, 226 nt
Filed under: Hevea brasiliensis (rubber tree)
Lineage: Eukaryota; Viridiplantae; Streptophyta; Magnoliopsida; Malpighiales; Euphorbiaceae
Source: RNAcentral